CCUACGGGAGGCAGCAGUGAGGAAUAUUGGUCAAUGGGCGGGAGCCUGAACCAGCCACGUCGCGUGCAGGAAGAAUGUCCUAUGGAUUGUAAACUGCUUUUGUAGGGGAAUAAUUGUAUCCACGUGUGGAUAUUUGCAUGUACCUUACGAAUAAGGAUCGGCUAACUCCGUGCCAGCAGCCGCGGUAAUACGGAGGAUCCGAGCGUUAUCCGGAUUUAUUGGGUUUAAAGGGUGCGUAGGCGGACUUAUAAGUCAGCGGUGAAAUUUUGCAGCUUAACUGCAAACGUGCCGUUGAAACUGUAGGUCUUGAGUGUAGAUAAGGUAGGCGGAAUGUGUUGUGUAGCGGUGAAAUGCAUAGAUAUGACACAGAACCCCGAUUGCGAAGGCAGCUUACCGGGUUACCACUGACGCUGAUGCACGAAAGCGUGGGGAUCAAACAG
Molecule: ribosomal RNA, 440 nt
Filed under: uncultured Labilibacter sp.
Lineage: Bacteria; Pseudomonadati; Bacteroidota; Bacteroidia; Marinilabiliales; Marinilabiliaceae
Description: bacterial SSU rRNA
Rfam family: Bacterial small subunit ribosomal RNA
Source: RNAcentral